This 433-nucleotide long non-coding RNA is filed under the name Salmo salar (Atlantic salmon). Its description in RNAcentral is "lncRNA (ENSSSAG00000090639.1)". The record is from RNAcentral. Lineage: Eukaryota; Metazoa; Chordata; Actinopteri; Salmoniformes; Salmonidae.
GAGUGAGUCAGUCUCUUUCUGUGAUGAUACGUGGAGUGUGUGAGUGAGUCAGUCUCUUUCUGUGAUGAUACGUGGAGUGUGUGAGUCAGUCUCUUUCUGUGAUGAUACGUGGAGUGUGUGAGUGAGUCAGUCUCUUUCUGUGAUGAUACGUGGAGUGUGUGGAUCAGUCUCUUUCUGUGAGAAUACGUGGAGUGUGUGAGUGAGUCAGUCUCUUUCUGUGAUGAUACGUGGAGUGUGUGAGUCAGUCUCUUUCUGUGAUGAUACGUGGAGUGUGUGUGUGAGCCAGUCUCUUUCUGUGAUGAUACGUGGAGUGUGUGAGAGUCUCCCAGUCUCUUUCUGUGAUGAUAUGUGGAGUGUGUGAGUGAGCCAGUCUCUUUCUGUGAUGAUACGUGGAGUGUGUGAGUGAGUCAGUCUCUUUCUGUGAUGAUACGUG